CGCUUUAUAUAUCUUGACAUACAUACAUAUAUAUAUAUAGGCUCAUGAUCAAAUAGAAACCACUCUUAAAAUAAAAACUAGAAACCAAUACAAGUUAGUGAUAUUCUCAAUAUAAUUUAGUGAUAUUCUCUUUAGGAUUUAGUGAUCUGUGUUGCAUGAAUUAGUGAAAACUUGCAGAAACUGCCCAGAAUCUCCAGAUCUGCUCCAGGAACUGCUCAGAAUCUCCAGAUCUGUUCCAGUUGCCGAUUCAGGUGGUGGUUGCAGUGGUGGAGAUAGUGAGAGUGGAGAUGGAGGUGGUGGACAUGGAAGAAGCCUUUAGCUCUAUCCGGCCGUUUUUGGCAAAGAUCUGGAAUUGAAAUCGGCAUUAAGCUGGGUAGACGGUAUUGGAGGUGAGGAAGACCGAGGUGGAGGUGAGGACAAAGGUGCAGGUGGAGGUGGAACGGAAGGGGCGGUGGAGGGGGUUGGAUUUGGUGGUGAUAUAAAUGGCGGGAUGAAGCUGCCGGAAGUGGGGUGGAGGCAGAUGUUGGGUUGGUGGGUUGGAGAAGAAGAAGGGGAAAGUGGGGUUGUUUGAGAAUUUAGUGAUAUUCUCUUUGAAAUUUAGUGAUAGUUUCUAGUUUCUAGAGUAAGGUGGUUUCUAUUGGAGUAAGACUCUAUAUAUAUAUAGGCUUAUGAUCAAAUAGAAACCACCCUUAAGAUAAAAACUAGAAACCAAUUCAGUUUAGUGAUAUUCUCAGUACAAUUUAGUGAUAUUCUUUUACGGAUUUGAAAUUAAAAUCCGCAUUAAGAUGGGCAAAUGGUAUUGGAGGUGAGGAAGAUCGAGGUGGAGGUGAGG
This 832-nucleotide long non-coding RNA is filed under the name Daucus carota (carrot). RNAcentral describes it as "long non-coding RNA (DCAR_LNC002573)". Lineage: Eukaryota; Viridiplantae; Streptophyta; Magnoliopsida; Apiales; Apiaceae. The record is from RNAcentral.